AGGGUUGACAAGGCGUGGCAAUGGGCUCGUGGCUGACCAGGCGUGCUUCAUUUACUGCAUGUGAUAGUUCCUAACAUCAUGGCCAACCUGGGCAGCGAUACUGACAGAUGGAGAAUAUUAGCGCUACAGAGGAGUUCAUACUCAGCUGUUGCCAGGUUGGAGCUCUGUUAGUGCAGCAGGUCCAAAGAACAGUGCCCAGCACUUAAAAGCCAACAAAAGCCUUUUUGUGAGGCAGGGAUCAAGUUGAAGAAUGGACAAGGGGGUCCGCUACUCGAGCCUUCUGCCUCCCCUGAGCGGAUAGUGUUGAGGACGUUUACACAGUUGUGAGUCUUGAUGGUGCGGCGGGCAAACAGAGAGUCUGGGUCAGACUGAGAGGAGCCAGAGUUAAUGCUGCAUCUGGGACCCUGACUGACUUCCUGAUGAAUGGCAAAUGUUGUAAUUAUCCUCGUUUCAGGACAAAGUCUUGGAAAAGCAGAGAGGUUUUUCUACAUCAAAUUACUAUACUGUACAUGCUUCUGUUUGAUCACAGUAAUUAUGUAUUACAAUAUAUGGAGGGAUUUUAGACUACUAGUAGUUCUCAAACGGUGUGUGUGUGUGUGUGUGUGUGUGUGUGUGUGUGUGUGUGUGUGUGUGUGUGUGUGUGUGUG
This is a long non-coding RNA of Perca fluviatilis (European perch), 647 nucleotides long. RefSeq lists it as uncharacterized. NCBI's taxonomy places the organism in Eukaryota, Metazoa, Chordata, Actinopteri, Perciformes, Percidae. The transcript has 3 exons. The record is from RefSeq and is a predicted model, not a curated record.